Sarcophilus harrisii (Tasmanian devil) is the source of this 1569-nucleotide long non-coding RNA. RefSeq lists it as uncharacterized. The transcript has 2 exons. NCBI's taxonomy places the organism in Eukaryota, Metazoa, Chordata, Mammalia, Dasyuromorphia, Dasyuridae. The record is from RefSeq and is a predicted model, not a curated record.
UAGGCUUCUGAUCUUAGCUUUCAAAUGAUUAUUUUCCCCCAUAAGUAAAUGGUUUGACUCAUAGAAUCAUAAGCUAAUAAUGAUAAUAAUAACUUACAUCUUGUUUACAAAGUAUUUUAAGAAUUGUCAUUAUCUCCUUUGAAAUUCAUACUAACCCUAUGAAGUAGAUAAUACAAGUCAGGAAUGUUACAAAUCAUGUUCUUCAAAAAUAUUUUGUUACAAGUUAAGUCAGAAAAGACAAAGUGGCUUUUUCAAGGUUAUAUAAUAAGUUAAUGAAAUGAGAAUAAAAUGUCUUAAUUCUUAAGCCUACUAUUCUUCCUAGUGCACCAUAACUCACAGCUUACUCAAAUAAAAAAGAUUAGAGAAGAAAUAUUUUCUAUAUAAAGGAUUCUAAAUGCUUAUAGUUACCUGGACCUCAUAUCUUGUGUUGAUGAUACAACAGAUAAAACAUUGGCCAUAGAGACAAAAGAUUUAGGUUUAGAUUCUGCUCCUUGACAUUUACUGACUAUUUAAAUCUUAGGCCCAUCACAAAAUAAGUCUUACCCUCAAUACACUCACCUGUAAAAUCAGGAAGUUAUAUUAAAUGGCUUCUUGGGUUCCUAAAUGUAUAUUAUUAUAAAAAUUUGGAGCUUUCAAAAUACUAAGUUAAUUUUUGUUAACUAAGUUGUUAAUUAGAAAACUGAUCAACAUAUUGAUGAUAUUCCAAAUUAAACUUUUUUGUAAGGUAUUCCAUAUAGGUAGAUAUUAGAAGAACUAUCCUCCCUCCAUUUUAAGUGUUUAUAGUAAUUAAAUUAUUGAGAGUUAUUGAGAAAGAAAUUUAAUAUGAAAGUGGACUCAUUAGCGCAUAGGCAAAACUUUUAGAAAACCUGAAAAUUAUUUUGUUUUUUUUUUUUCUGUUCAAACAAUAUUCCAUGAGCUUUACCAUAAAAAAGAACAGAAGAGGAAAAAAAAAGAAACUUUAUUCACAAAUCCUUGCUACUGCCUGUUACCAUGGGAAAACAAAAUCUGGUGAUGUUUAAUGACUCUACUUUGAUUACACAGUUGGUAAGUGUCUGAGGCAUCCAAAAAUUUUAACAUUCUCUUCCUUAUUCGGAAUCCAAGGAUUUUUUUUUUCUAUUAUAUUGCACUGCAUUUUGUCUGUACAGGCAAUCAAAAUUUUAAAAAGUUAAUUGAACUUUUAGAUAGGGAAAAUAUGUCAAGAAAAUAGAUGGAUUUUUUGAAACAACAUGCAGAAAUCAACAUUCUAGGUGCUAUUGGGGAAAAAAUAAGUGAGAAGAAAAAAAAAUAAAACUUAAUUGCAGGAGCUACUUUCAAACUGAUCCCUAAAAAAUCAUCUUUUAAAUAGACUAGUGUCUUAAACAGACACAAUAAUUUGCCAUUUAUUUUUUUUUCCAUUUCCAUCUUCUUCAUUAUUAUUUUCUAAUGCUCACAGAUGUCUCAAUAUGGGGUUCAUUAUAGAAGACCCAAGGCACAUUGGUUUUGAAUUUUGGCCUUCUCACUUUUUGUCAAAUGAACACAUUUUAAAAGACCAAAUCAAAAUAAUCAGAAUGAAAAUCCAAUAAUAUUUUU